This is a long non-coding RNA of Micropterus dolomieu (smallmouth bass), 376 nucleotides long. RefSeq lists it as uncharacterized. Lineage: Eukaryota; Metazoa; Chordata; Actinopteri; Centrarchiformes; Centrarchidae. The record is from RefSeq and is a predicted model, not a curated record. The transcript is spliced from 3 exons.
CGGCUGUGUGUUACCAGUUUACGGACACUACCAGCUUACAGUCAAGAGUCACACUGUGGAUCAGAUGUCCCACCAGGUACCAGAGAGCUGCAGAGACCUGGGAGUCCUCAUUUUGCUGAUGGGGAACUACGCUCGUAAUCUGCUCAGCAACAGCAUGGCGAUUCGUGGAGUCAGAGGACAAACAUUGGGGUCAGAGGACUUGGGCCAAUCAUGGACUGACCUACACUUUUGUUUAAUUGUUUUAUGACAUGACGAUGUAUACUAAAACACUGGGUCAGGGAGAGAUAGCCAGUCAGACUUCAUGAACUGAUACAGCUUGUUGUUUGUCAGGGAAAGGAAGAUCGACCCAGAGCUCUGUAAGCUUUAUUCAUUUACU